This 1372-nucleotide ribosomal RNA is filed under the name uncultured bacterium. Its description in RNAcentral is "bacterial SSU rRNA". It matches the Rfam family "Bacterial small subunit ribosomal RNA", at positions 28 to 1381 of the family's 1533-position model. The record is from RNAcentral.
GAUGAACGCUGGCGGCGUGCCUAAUACAUGCAAGUCGAGCGAACGGACGAGGAGCUUGCUUCUCUGAUGUUAGCGGCGGACGGGUGAGUAACACGUGGAUAACCUACCUAUAAGACUGGGAUAACUUCGGGAAACCGGAGCUAAUACCGGAUAAUAUUUUGAACCGCAUGGUUCAAAAGUGAAAGACGGUCUUGCUGUCACUUAUAGAUGGAUCCGCGCUGCAUUAGCUAGUUGGUAAGGUAACGGCUUACCAAGGCAACGAUGCAUAGCCGACCUGAGAGGGUGAUCGGCCACACUGGAACUGAGACACGGUCCAGACUCCUACGGGAGGCAGCAGUAGGGAAUCUUCCGCAAUGGGCGAAAGCCUGACGGAGCAACGCCGCGUGAGUGAUGAAGGUCUUCGGAUCGUAAAACUCUGUUAUUAGGGAAGAACAUAUGUGUAAGUAACUGUGCACAUCUUGACGGUACCUAAUCAGAAAGCCACGGCUAACUACGUGCCAGCAGCCGCGGUAAUACGUAGGUGGCAAGCGUUAUCCGGAAUUAUUGGGCGUAAAGCGCGCGUAGGCGGUUUUUUAAGUCUGAUGUGAAAGCCCACGGCUCAACCGUGGAGGGUCAUUGGAAACUGGAAAACUUGAGUGCAGAAGAGGAAAGUGGAAUUCCAUGUGUAGCGGUGAAAUGCGCAGAGAUAUGGAGGAACACCAGUGGCGAAGGCGACUUUCUGGUCUGUAACUGACGCUGAUGUGCGAAAGCGUGGGGAUCAAACAGGAUUAGAUACCCUGGUAGUCCACGCCGUAAACGAUGAGUGCUAAGUGUUAGGGGGUUUCCGCCCCUUAGUGCUGCAGCUAACGCAUUAAGCACUCCGCCUGGGGAGUACGACCGCAAGGUUGAAACUCAAAGGAAUUGACGGGGACCCGCACAAGCGGUGGAGCAUGUGGUUUAAUUCGAAGCAACGCGAAGAACCUUACCAAAUCUUGACAUCCUUUGACAACUCUAGAGAUAGAGCUUUCCCCUUCGGGGGACAAAGUGACAGGUGGUGCAUGGUUGUCGUCAGCUCGUGUCGUGAGAUGUUGGGUUAAGUCCCGCAACGAGCGCAACCCUUAAGCUUAGUUGCCAUCAUUAAGUUGGGCACUCUAAGUUGACUGCCGGUGACAAACCGGAGGAAGGUGGGGAUGACGUCAAAUCAUCAUGCCCCUUAUGAUUUGGGCUACACACGUGCUACAAUGGACAAUACAAAGGGCAGCGAAACCGCGAGGUCAAGCAAAUCCCAUAAAGUUGUUCUCAGUUCGGAUUGUAGUCUGCAACUCGACUACAUGAAGCUGGAAUCGCUAGUAAUCGUAGAUCAGCAUGCUACGGUGAAUACGUUCCCGGGUCU